GACGAACGCUGGCGGCGUGCUUAACACAUGCAAGUCGAACGAUGAAGCUAGAGCUUGCUCUGGUGGAUUAGUGGCGAACGGGUGAGUAACACGUGAGUAACCUGCCCCGAACUCUGGAAUAACUGCUGGAAACGGUAGCUAAUACCGGAUAUGACCAAUGAAGGCAUCUUCUGUUGGUGGAAAGAAUUUCGGUUCGGGAUGGACUCGCGGCCUAUCAGCUUGUUGGUGAGGUAACGGCUCACCAAGGCGACGACGGGUAGCCGGCCUGAAAGGGUGAUCGGCCACACUGGGACUGAGACACGGCCCAGACUCCUACGGGAGGCAGCAGUGGGGAAUAUUGCACAAUGGGCGCAAGCCUGAUGCGGCAACGCCGCGUGAGGGACGACGGCCUUCGGGUUGUAAACCUCUUUUAGUAGGGAAGAAGCGAAAGUGACGGUACCUGCAGAAAAAGCACCGGCUAACUACGUGCCAGCCGCCGCCGUAA
RNAcentral lists this ribosomal RNA (484 nucleotides) under uncultured bacterium. RNAcentral's name for it is "partial 16S ribosomal RNA". It matches the Rfam family "Bacterial small subunit ribosomal RNA", at positions 28 to 523 of the family's 1533-position model. The record is from RNAcentral.